Mycena metata is the source of this 83-nucleotide non-coding RNA. The record is from the annotation of a GenBank genome assembly. Lineage: Eukaryota; Fungi; Basidiomycota; Agaricomycetes; Agaricales; Mycenaceae.
GCGCCCUUGGUGUAACGGUAACAUUACCUCACUGCUCAUUCUAUGAAUAAGAGGGGUCCCGGGUUCGACUCCCGGAGGGCGCC